Molecule: ribosomal RNA, 433 nt
Filed under: uncultured bacterium
Lineage: Bacteria
Description: partial 16S ribosomal RNA
Rfam family: Bacterial small subunit ribosomal RNA
Source: RNAcentral
AACGAACGCUGGCGGCAGGCCUAACACAUGCAAGUCGAGCGAGGACUUCGGUCCUAGCGGCGGACGGGUGAGUAACGCGUGGGAACGUGCCCUUUGCUUCGGAAUAGCCCUGGGAAACUGGGAGUAAUACCGGAUGAGCCCUUUGGGGGAAAGAUUUAUCGGCGAAGGAUCGGCCCGCGUUGGAUUAGGUAGUUGGUGGGGUAAUGGCCUACCAAGCCGACGAUCCAUAGCUGGUUUGAGAGGAUGAUCAGCCACACUGGGACUGAGACACGGCCCAGACUCCUACGGGAGGCAGCAGUGGGGAAUCUUAGACAAUGGGGGAAACCCUGAUCUAGCCAUGCCGCGUGAGCGAUGAAGGCCUUAGGGCUGUAAAGCUCCUUCAGCUGGGAAGAUAAUGACGGUACCAGCAGAAGAAGCCCCGGCUAACUCCGUG